This 855-nucleotide long non-coding RNA is filed under the name Homo sapiens (human). Its description in RNAcentral is "HSALNT0370735". The record is from RNAcentral. Lineage: Eukaryota; Metazoa; Chordata; Mammalia; Primates; Hominidae.
UUCAGAUUUCAGGGCCGUUUGUAUUGUGGUGGUUUCUUUAUGUUCAAGGUUAUCCACACCAGGCAGAGGACAAACUCCACUCCUGGCCUUCCUGCCCAGCUAGAUUUAAGGAUUGUAACCAGGACAGUGAGUCCCUUCUGGGAAAGGGGCCUCGUGGAGGUUAUGAAAUCCAGCAGGUCAUGGAAGGAGAAACGAUUGACAAUCCAGACGGGAUGGAGGCAGGAGUUGGCUCAGUAACCCCAUCUUUCCUAUCCACCAGCACUCCCCUGCGCUUCCCAAGUGAUUUAAUUAUCCAUUCUUUAACUGCAACUCGGUUAGCCCUGAAAUUUGGGUGAAGAGAAAUCAGACACAGAGUCCGGCUUUUCCUUGGUCACCCAGGCUGGAGUGCAAUGGCACCAUCACAGCUCACUGCAACCUCCAACUUCUGGUCUCAAACGAUCCUCUGGCCUCACCUCAGCCUCCUGAGUUGCUGGGAUUACAGUCAAGAGCCACUGCACCCAGCCCCCUCACUGUUGCAUGAAUGGAUGAAUGAGUUGAUUAUGAACCGUUUUGCUUAGGGGGACAUUUCUGGCUUUUCCUCCCAUGUGAAGUCAGAUGGACCAGAGGUGGAAAUGAUCCCACUGAGAAACCUCUUUGCUUCUAAAGGGACCUCUCAAGGGUCUCCUCCUGCUUGUCUUCGGCAACAGGCAAGGCCAAAGACCCUUCCUCCCAUCUGCAGCCACCAGUUCCUGCUUUGUGACUUGUGCAGUAGGAGUUUUGCAGCAUUGAAAAGCAUCAUGCAGGAGCCAGGCUUCCAGAAGAUCCCUGCGGCUGAGUUCUCGGUAAUUCCCAGUAACACUCUAAUUUUAGUUAUGA